AUUCUAACUUACCACUACCAUGAUCAUGAAGAUGGUUCACCCAGUGUGAGGCUCAGCUGUUGCACUCCAUUUGUGCUGACCCCUGUGAAUUCCCCAAAUGUGAGAAUCUUGACUGCAUAAUUUCUGGUAUAAAGGUACCGCAUUCAUGAUCUCUCCUG
This is a small nuclear RNA of Nematolebias whitei (Rio pearlfish), 158 nucleotides long. RefSeq annotates it as U1 spliceosomal RNA. NCBI's taxonomy places the organism in Eukaryota, Metazoa, Chordata, Actinopteri, Cyprinodontiformes, Rivulidae. The record is from RefSeq and is a predicted model, not a curated record. The transcript has a single exon.